GCUGUCGUCAGCUCGUGUUGUGAAAUGUUGGGUUAAGUCCCGCAACGAGCGCAACCCUUAUCCUUUGUUGCCAGCACGUAAUGGUGGGAACUCAAAGGAGACUGCCGGUGAUAAACCGGAGGAAGGUGGGGAUGACGUCAAGUCAUCAUGGCCCUUACGAGUAGGGCUACACACGUGCUACAAUGGCAGAUACAAAGAGAAGCGACCUCGCGAGAGCAAGCGGAACUCAUAAAGUCUGUCGUAGUCCGGAUUGGAGUCUGCAACUCGACUCCAUGAAGUCGGAAUCGCUAGUAAUCGUAGAUCAGAAUGCUACGGUGAAUACGUUCCCGGGCCUUGUACACACCGCCCGUCACACCAUGGGAGUGGGUUGCAAAAGAAGUAGGUAGCUUAACCUUCGGGAGGGCGCUUACCACUUUGUGAUUCAUGACUGGGGUGAAGUCGUAACAAGGUAACCGUAGGGGAACCUGCGGUUGGAUCACCUCCUUA
RNAcentral lists this ribosomal RNA (486 nucleotides) under Proteus mirabilis. Its description in RNAcentral is "bacterial SSU rRNA". It matches the Rfam family "Bacterial small subunit ribosomal RNA", at positions 1048 to 1533 of the family's 1533-position model. The record is from RNAcentral. Lineage: Bacteria; Pseudomonadati; Pseudomonadota; Gammaproteobacteria; Enterobacterales; Morganellaceae.